CCCAAACGGUGCACCCAGCACAAGCUGUUUUGACAAUUCAUAAGUUUUUUUGCUUUUUUUAAAAAAAAAAAAAACCACCCAACAAAAAGCCCAUGCCAAAGCAUUAUGAGGUUGCAAGGUGCACUGUGUUGUUCAAAGGAUGCAGAAUAUGAAACAGAUGGCUCCGGAAGCCUGGGAGACAGACCUGCUGGGCCCUUUCUGGUGUCACCCAUCCUCUCUGGCUUUAAGAUGCCCAAGAUGAGACCGCAUAAAGAGACCUGAUUUUCAGAGGAUGGGUC
Long non-coding RNA from Dermochelys coriacea (leatherback sea turtle), 278 nucleotides. RefSeq lists it as uncharacterized. The transcript is spliced from 3 exons. The record is from RefSeq and is a predicted model, not a curated record. NCBI's taxonomy places the organism in Eukaryota, Metazoa, Chordata, Testudines, Dermochelyidae.